RNAcentral lists this ribosomal RNA (546 nucleotides) under Lycodes diapterus (black eelpout). Its description in RNAcentral is "partial 16S large subunit ribosomal RNA". It matches the Rfam family "Bacterial large subunit ribosomal RNA", at positions 369 to 1050 of the family's 2925-position model. The record is from RNAcentral. Lineage: Eukaryota; Metazoa; Chordata; Actinopteri; Perciformes; Zoarcidae.
AGCCUUAUAGCUAGCCCAAUCAAACAACCUCAACCACCCCCUGUUAAUAACCCCUAAGUACACCAGUAUUCAUAUAAACAAACCAUUUUUCCCCCUUAGUACAGGAGAUAGAAACGGACCCCCGACGCAAUAGAGAAAGUACCGCAAGGGAACGCUGAAAGAGAGAUGAAAAAGACCAGUAAAGCCUAAAAAAGCAGAGACUAGAACUCGUACCUUUUGCAUCAUGAUUUAGCAAGUGUAGCUCAAGCAAAGCGUGCUUUAGUUUGAUAUCCCGAAACUAGGUGAGCUACUCCAAGACAGCCUAUUAAUAGGGCACACCCGUCUCUGUGGCAAAAGAGUGGGAAGAGCUUUGAGUAGAGGUGAUAGACCUACCGAACCUAGUUAUAGCUGGUUGUUCAAGAAAUGAAUAGAAGUUCAGCCUCCCGGCUUCUCUUUUCACCCUGGAUUAACCCCCAUCGAUGUACUGAAGAAACCGGGGGAGUUAGUCAAAGGGGGUACAGCCCCUUUGAACCAAGACACAACUUUACCAGGAGGGUAAAGAUCAUA